UGAAGAAAAUGUCUAAGAAUUUGGGAAAUCGUAUCGUUUUGUUUUAUCAAAUUAAAACAAACCGCCAGCGAAAUUGGAAAAAUAAGCGGUGUGACUAAAACAAGUCAUUUUAGUUCAGAAUAGAAGUAAUUUAGCACCUUCUGGCAACUUGGCGGUCGACCAAGGAUAUUGAAUGACAAUGAUACUCGUUAUAUGAAACGUUGAUUUGUAGAAACUCUAAAUUAACCCCUAAGGACUACUCAAGUCAUUAACAAGUCAGUCAAAAAGUGGACAGCCAAAGGAACAUUGAAAGCGUUGAAUUUUGAGAAACACACGACCGAGCAAUACUGUAUGGCCAGCUCAGCAAAAAAAACAAAAAGUUCAUGAUACUAAGUUUAACAGAGAAUUUCAAACUUGGUGGACUGAGAAAUAUGGCAUGAUUAGUAAAGAUGACAAAGCGGUGUGUGUUUUAUGUUCUGGAACAGUGGUAUAAUAUGUAGAACAUCGUCUGUUAAACGACAUUUUGAAACAAAUCUUAAAUCUGUUAGUCAAAAAAGCGAGGCAGAGCAAAAAAAAUUAAUUGCAAGUGCAUUGAAUGACAGAAAUAAACAGUCAACGUCUAUGAUUAAAUUUGUUGGCAAAAAUUGUAAUACAAGCGCGGCAAGUUACGCGGCUGCAAAUGUCAUUGCUCGGCAUGGUAAACCUUUUCAAGAAGGUGAGUUUUUGAAGGAAGCCUGGUUAGCAUGCGCGCCCUCUCUUUUUGAAGAUUUCGACAAUAAAGAUAAGAUAAUUCAGCACAUCAAAGAUACUCCUCUAUCAAGAAACACAAUAAAAGAAAGAAUCUUAAAAC
Bactrocera oleae (olive fruit fly) is the source of this 829-nucleotide non-coding RNA. Lineage: Eukaryota; Metazoa; Arthropoda; Insecta; Diptera; Tephritidae. The record is from RefSeq and is a predicted model, not a curated record.